GAGGAAUUCCUCAUAUCCAAGGCAGCUCCCCACAAACACCCCACCCAUAUGACUAUGCCCCCUUUUGAAUCGACAGUAUAGAUUGGGCUUCAUAGCUACUUUCAUUCUAAAGACGAAUAUUAGUCAAUAGGCAGGCUUCUUUCAGUAGCAAACAUAUUCAUUUUCACCGGGCUCCGCGCACCUUUGGUACUUCUGGAGGGCAAGUUGUUUUAUAGUGACUUCUUUCUUAGGGUAGGGCGACGAAUACUUCCAAUUUCGGAAAGGUCAUUGGGUCGCCUUUGGAAGCUAAAGCGAAAGUUGUAGAAAGCCGGGAGAAAAAGCGAAAGCUUGCUCGAAACGGCCUAUACCCUAACCCUCGGAAGCGAAGACGCAAAGCGUCACUUUUUUCAAAAGGAAGGAGUUUUUUCUGACUGAAUCCAUCCAUAAAGCCGCCAAGGAAACGAAGUUCGUUCCCUUUCAUCAAGUGGGUAAGGUAGGCAAACCACUUAAGCUUUGCCUUGGACUGACGGAACAAAGCUAAGAAGUAGGCUCAAUGGAAAAAGGAAAGGGACAAGGGCGGUCGUCGCUUGGUGCGAAGGCUGCUGGUUCGGUACGGUACUAAAGGUCCUCGGACUUCCAGGCGGUUUUUCUUUUGGGCUGCUGUGAACCCUUGGAUCUCGCCAAUACAGCCUCCUAUGGUUUUCGUUACCGAGAUAUCUUUUCUUUUUUCCCAGGGAUUUUUUGGGUAAUCAGCUCCCAUGCUGCAAACAGUCAAAUCUGAACAUUGUCGCUCUUCUUUCCUCGUGGGCAGGAAGCACACCAGCAGCGUGCGUUGCGUGAUUCCACUGUGUUUUUUGCACUUGACUGGGUGGACAGUUGACCGGAAGAUAACUUCGAUUCACCCGGCCAGCAGGCGGGCGGCGUGCUUAUCUUGUGUGACAACACUACAGAGCGAGUAGCUCUUCUAGUCGGGCAGCUGUGUGACAACACUCCUGAGAAAGCGGCGCUUUUGUGUAACAUGCUAUGGUCUCAACGCCCUUACGAGGUAGUGAUGAGUUUCACGCGCUCUAAGCCCGGCCCGCGCGCAGUUAGGAGGAUUGGCCGCUAUCUGAGCGGUACCACCCACCCUACCCUACUACCUAUAGGGGGCCGUCCGUCCUACAGCCGCCCGAAAAGGAACUGCAGUAAUCUUGAAUAGGAAUCCUACAGCGAUAAAAAGAAUCCCCAUAAAAAUACCACUAGAUCGGGCACCAGUGAUUUCGUAUCCGGUCAAAAUCUUGGCUAAUUGAUCGAAGUGGGUAGUUCCAGUAGACCCAUAGAUCAUGGAACAAAUAGGGUGGGUAGGCCCAACCACCACACUACACGUAUAGACGCGAACCCCCCUCCUUACCGUACGUGCGACUCUCACCGCAUACGGCUCGCACAAAGACUCCAAAAUCCAUCCCGAGCUUUUUAUUCCACCUCUCCCUCCUCUCCAAUCCUCGAUCAAACUAGCCUUCCCCAGCAAGAAAACGUAUCCGCUUUAGCAACAAAGCGCUCAUCCCUUGCUUGUUCUUGAGCGCGCAAGGCGCUCAAGACGGUGAUUCUUGCUUAAAAAAGGGCUAAAGCACUCCAGCUUCGAAGCUGGAAUUUGCAACUUCAAAACUAUAGGUUUUAGCCCUCCUGCUGGGUGGGCGCUUCCUUCGUCUAUCGUAUGUCUCGCUUGGCUUCGUCCCGAACCAAGGAGGCAUGAUGGCGGGCGUGUGCGUGUGCCGACUGCAGAGACUACAAGCCGACGCCGGAAGCGACUCGCUUCUAUUCUUGAUUGGAUAUAGAUGGGGAAUCUCUAUAGAUCGUCUUUUUUCGACAACCUCUCUAAAAUGCAUACGAGAAAAUUGCACUUCACGGCACGGCAAAAAAAAAGAGCUUCGCUUGGUUGGCCCUCCUAGGCUUCCGCCUACUUUCUCUUCUCUUAAGUCUACAACAAGUGGGAGAGGCAGGAUUCGAACCUACGUAGAAAACCUUCAACAGAUUUACAGUCUGUCGCUUUUGACCGCUCGGCCACUCUCCCCUUCCCGGGGAUACGCCCUCCUCAAACAAAGGGUUCCUGAAUAAGAAGGAUGGCGGCCUUCGUUCUUAAGUUAACAAGAGCAGAUGGAACUAUUAGAUUUGCUAGCGUUCCGGGAGAAUAAAUAAGGUCAUUUAGUAAGUUCAUAACAAUCCAUUUAUGUAAAGCAAGGGUCAAAGCUUCUACGACAGCUUCCCCCUCAUUGCCAUCGUCGGCCUUCCCCAGCUCCCCUCCUUCGUUGCUUCUGGCUAAGCAUCUUUCAGCGGAGGAAAGGAGGCGACUAGUCGCUUCUGGCGAAGCAGCGAGUUCAUGAGCAAGUGAAUGAACGAGCAGCGAGUGAAGUGCAACAGUCGUAAGUAAGGCUCGCCAUGUUCCUAAAAGGAGUGACCAUCUUUUCUUCCCUUCUACUGACACUGAGCGAGCAGCAAGCAUAGGCAAUAGUUUCCGUAGGGGUGGGGCGCAAGCAAGCGUUUUCAGGCUCCGCUAGCUAGCGUACUCUUCUGCUAUCAAUGAAACCGAAAGAAAAAACCAGUGCCCUUUCGUAUAGAUCGAGACGCAGUACUUUUUCUUUACUUCUUCCAUACUAGGAAGAAUGGAAGGAAAUCCUUCGAUAACACUUCUUCCUUAUUUGAAGAAAUGAUAUCCGACGCCCGUGGAAACUCUUUCAUUUCAAAAAAGUUCUUCUUCUUAAGAAGCAAAUAGCAUUUCCUAUUGAUUUGUCCCCUGGACUAGACCUAUGUAGAUUCGGAAUUAUCCGUCGCUACGCUGUUCCCAAGGACUAGCAAAAUCGAAAUAGCGAAAUUCUUGGGUCAUCUCAAUGGGUUCAGAAACCACACGUUUCUCUGGAUCAUCAUAGCGUACUUCCACAUAUCCACUCAGAGGAAAGUCUUUUCGUAAUGGACGACCCUCGAAACCAUAAUCUGUUGAUAUACGGCGUAAAUCCGGAUGAUUGAUGGAAGAAACACCAGACAUAUCCCAUACUUCUCGCUCCCACCGGCCGGCUGAUGGAAAUAGACUGACUACCGGAGAUAUUCGUGUUACUUCGUCUGCACUUGUUUGUACACGAAUGCGUGAGUUAUACCGAGUACUCAAUAAAUUAUGGACAACUUCAAAUCUUCGUUUUCGAGAGGGAUGAUCCACUCCGCAAAUAUCGAUCGAAACUUGAACCCUUGUAUAGGUAUGCCAUUUUAGAAAGCACAACAAUGGAAAUGGGUAGUCAGUAUUGGUAUAAGAUCUAUUCCCAUGUUCCGAUCUUUUCAUUUUAUGUACCCAUUUCUUGGGUAAAAUCUCCCAACUAUAUUGGAAAAUGGAUUGGUUAUUCAUAAAUGAAAAUAAAGAAAGCUUUAUUUUGGUUCCGCUUCUUGCUCUAAGCAGAAAGACUUGUCGGAAAUCGCCGGUUGGGUUGGUCCGACCAAGAAAGGCAUGGGAGUGGAGAGGCAGAAGUGAAAGACUGGCUACCAAUAAAGAUCCAAAACUGCACACACACUUUUUAGAGUUAUGUAUCCAGGAUCGGCUGCAUGCUCUAGUGUUGAAUCGGGUAUAGAACCCAGGAUGCUUGGUUACAAUUCCGAAUCCGCUAAACCAUCGCUCGGGGAAAAGUAUUAUACAGAGCAUUAGUACUUAUUCUGAUCCUUUCCUUAUAUUUAGAUUCUAGUAGUUUAUUUCAGUCGUAUUCGUAUCCUUACUGCGGUUUUUUAAGGGUAACAAAUAAAAGUAUGCAGGUUCUAUUUUAUUGUUCCGAGACAUAUGAUGAUAGCAUUGAGAAUGAGAAAUCUUUGCAAAAUGCACGUAUUAUUAAGGAGUUCUGGAACGAUUACUAUGCUAAGCUGUUGGAUAUUGACAAAACGAAAAAGACUUCUAAUGUUGAUAUGUAUCAGGAUGAUGUUAGAAAGUUGUUGAUUAAUGAAAAGAAGAAUCAAAAUGGUGUGUUUUCUGAUACUGAAUUAAUAGAUUUACAGAAUCAAAUUGCAAAUUGCACAAUGAAGUUCGAUGAGGAUAAUCUAUUUAAAGUAACUCCUAACAUAGUAAAGUUCUUGAUUAAUAAAGAUCAACCUAACACUAAGCAAUAUCUAAAGGGUUGCCUACCAAGUAGCUUACCUAUGCUUAAGAUGUUUGGUAUCUAUACGCUUGAGGCUAUCAUGAUUCAUGUACUAGGCUUGGUAUUCAACACUCUUCAGGAAUCAUCCGCAGUUAAGGCAGCUAGAUUUAUAGAUCAACUUAAUUCAACUGUACGGGAACAAGCAAGGUUUCUACAAUACAAAGCACCAGGUAGUGGUAAGGUGGAAGCAGUACUCACUAGUAAGGUAGAAUCAGUUAAGGAUGUUGUUCAGCCCAAAGGUGCUAGCAAAAAAGAGAAAAAGAAAAAAAUGCAGUGUCAUUAUGAUAUCGGGAAAUACUUGCUCCAAUUCAUGAUUGAAAGAAAUGUUCUACAUAUAUCAACAGAUAGGGGAGUAACAAAAGAAGAUCCAGUGCUGGUUCUUAAGAAAGGUCAAGGGUAUAUAGAGAAUUCUUGUUAUGUUAUGUGCAAUUUGAACAUAAAUCUGCUCCCUAUCAAACUCAAUCUUCCGAUGCUUUGCAAACCCUUGGAUUGGCAACCAGCAGAGAGGGGGUCUGAUCCUGAUACAUUAUCGGAUCUGAUAGGAGGUUACUUAUGCAAACCCACGUGGGAUAUCUAGAAUCACUUUCGGCUAUUAACUUCCCAUGACUUAAACCACUUCUAUAUAAAGUUACAUAAAAAAGAAUACAAGCAGAUGUGUGAUAUUUUGAAUGGGCUUCAGUCUCAAGCGUUUGAAAUAAACAAAAGGCUCUUGAUAUUUCUGGAAAAGAAUCGUCAAUGUUUAGUUGAGUGUGGGCUUCUUUUACCAAAUGCUCUGGCUCGCGUGAAUCCGACAGAAGCCUCAGACAUAUUGAGGGAGUGCUACUUCAAUAACGUCAAAGGUAUUAAGAAUGCUUGUAGCUAUAACAUACUGUUAAAUAAAUUAUGAAAACAGGUGCAGCAGGCUAGUUAUGAAGAUUUUUUAAUAAGACUUGCGUCAGCAUACGAAGGUUAUCAAUUCUAUUUGCCAGCAUUCAUGGACUUCCGUGGUAGAAUCUACCGUUCAGGUGUAUUGCAUUUUCAUGAGCGUGAUUUGUCAAAAAGUUUAUUACUCUUUUCUGCCGAUCAUCCUCAACCUCAAGCACAAAACCACCUGUCGGAAAAAAAGAAUCUCAGUCAACACUUAGCAUGUGCUGCAGCCUUUAAGUAUCCAAAGUUCUCGAACUUAGAUGAUGCCCUUAAAUGGUAUAACGAACANNNNNNNNNNGAAAUACUUGCUCCAAUUCAUGAUUGAAAGAAAUGUUCUACAUAUAUCAACAGAUAGGGGAGUAACAAAAGAAGAUCCAGUGCUGGUUCUUAAGAAAGGUCAAGGGUAUAUAGAGAAUUCUUGUUAUGUUAUGUGCAAUUUGAACAUAAAUCUGCUCCCUAUCAAACUCAAUCUUCCGAUGCUUUGCAAACCCUUGGAUUGGCAACCAGCAGAGAGGGGGUCUGAUCCUGAUACAUUAUCGGAUCUGAUAGGAGGUUACUUAUGCAAACCCACGGGGGAUAUCUAGAAUCACUUUCGGCUAUUAACUUCCCAUGACUUAAACCACUUCUAUAUAAAGUUACAUAAAAAAGAAUACAAGCAGAUGUGUGAUAUUUUGAAUGGGCUUCAGUCUCAAGCGUUUGAAAUAAACAAAAGGCUCCUGAGAUUUCUGGAAAAGAAUCUUCAAUGUUUAGUUGAGUGUGGGCUUCUUUUACCAAAUGCUCUGGCUCGCGUGAAUCCGACAGAAGCCUCAGACAUAUUGAGGGAGUGCUACUUCAAUAACGUCAAAGGUAUUAAUAAUGCUUGUAGCUAUAACAUACUGUUAAAUAAAUUAUUAAAACAGGUGCAGCAGGCUAGUUAUGAAGAUUUUGUAAUAAGACUUGCGUCAGCAUACGAAGGUUAUCAAUUCUAUUUGCCAGCAUUCAUGGACUUUCGUGGUAGAAUCUACCGUUCAGGUGUAUUGCAUUUUCAUGAGCGUGAUUUGUCAAAAAGUUUAUUACUCUUUUCUGCCGAUCAUCCUCAACCUCAAGCACAAAACCACCUGUCGGAAAAAAAGAAUCUCAGUCAACACUUAGCAUGUGCUGCAGCCUUUAAGUAUCCAAAGUUCUCGAACUUAGAUGAUGCCCUUAAAUGGUAUAACGAACACCAGACUGAAAUGUUUACUUCGGACGAAAGUUUCAUUCAAUUUGCUGCGCAAGCUAGUGAUCCAUUUUUUUUCAUAGCCAAGAUCCUUUCUCAGGAUGAAGGAGUGAGUAAUUAUCAUCAGGUUCCAGUGACCCAAGAUGCGAGUGCGAGUGCAUAUCAAAUUAUGAGUUAUCUCUUGCUUAACUUAGAAAUGGGUAGGAGAACGAAUCUUCUUCCAUCUUAAGACGGUAAAAUCCAAGAUGUGUACAUGUGCUUGCGGGAUGAGCUUAAUAAAUUCUUNNNNNNNNNNUUGUAGCUAUAACAUACUGUUAAAUAAAUUAUGAAAACAGGUGCAGCAGGCUAGUUAUGAAGAUUUUUUAAUAAGACUUGCGUCAGCAUACGAAGGUUAUCAAUUCUAUUUGCCAGCAUUCAUGGACUUCCGUGGUAGAAUCUACCGUUCAGGUGUAUUGCAUUUUCAUGAGCGUGAUUUGUCAAAAAGUUUAUUACUCUUUUCUGCCGAUCAUCCUCAACCUCAAGCACAAAACCACCUGUCGGAAAAAAAGAAUCUCAGUCAACACUUAGCAUGUGCUGCAGCCUUUAAGUAUCCAAAGUUCUCGAACUUAGAUGAUGCCCUUAAAUGGUAUAACGAACACCAGACUGAAAUGUUUACUUCGGACGAAAGUUUCAUUCAAUUUGCUGCGCAAGCUAGUGAUCCAUUUUUUUUCAUAGCCAAGAUCCUUUCUCAGGAUGAAGGAGUGAGUAAUUAUCAUCAGGUUCCAGUGACCCAAGAUGCAAUUGCGAGUGCAUAUCAAAUUAUGAGUUAUCUCUUGCUUAACUUAGAAAUGGGUAGGAGAACGAAUCUUCUUCCAUCUUAAGACGGUCAAAUCCAAGAUGUGUACAUGUGCUUGCGGGAUGAGCUUAAUAAAUUGUUUUUUACCAGAUUGAAUAAUGUUAGUAGUAGUAAUUAGAAGAAAAAACUCAUAGAUUCUAUGUUAACCAGAAAGUUCGUCAAAGGAUUGUUUAUGCCAUCUCCACAGGGGUCCGUCCGGUUCUUCCUCAAAUGGGUUGCCUCAAUCUUUAUCAAAGUUUUGGUAUCUAGCUUAUCCAGCUACAGUAUAGUAUACUCCUUCCUUGCUCGAUAGAGCUCUUUGAAUCCGCUUCAACUAAAUGCGUAAAAUAGAGUAAUUUCUUCAAAAGCCAGUUUCUUUUGAGAAGGCAGGAGGCCCAUAGCGAGUUAUAAUAGUGCCAGUUCUUGUACGGAAGGCCGUAAUUCAGGUAACCUUGACUGCUCUAAGAAUGAUCCGGGCUAGCCGGGCACAUCACAUCAAAGUUAGGUCAUUUGUCAAAAACAUGGCAAAUAGCUCAGUUGGUUUGGUAAGGGAGCUAUUCUCUCACUUAAACCACUCCCAUAUUAGGUAUUCUAUCUCGUCUUAAAGUUCCCCCGCAUUACCCAUAACUUACCACCUGUAUCUCCGGAACUCAAAUCGCAAAAUGACAAUGCUUUCGAUAGUCUGUACUAAAUUACUUUGUACGAAUGCACAUCUCGGCCGUCGGGUAGCUGAUCACCAUUUCAAAGUCUAUAUCCGUGGUUCAAGAAAUGGAAUUGCUAUUCUCGAUUCAGACAAGACACUGAUUUGUUUACGAAACGCUCUUCAUUUUAUAGGAUCUCCCAGUCGUCAAAAAGGCCGUUCCUUCUUUUUAAAGACCAAUCAUUUAUUUAUUUAUGAGAUAACGGAAGAAAUGGCGAGCUAUUUAAGAAGCUAUUUAAGAAAUGUGAAUUCUCAUUGUUUCAAUGAUUCUCAAUGGAAGAUCGGGGCGUUUUUGACCAAUUCUUUUGCAAAUAAAAAAAAUUCCGUUCAAGAAAGAAGAAGAUCAAUUUUGGGUUGAACCAACAACCUGAUUGUGUGGUUAUUCUGAAUGCAGAUAGAAAGUCUUCGGUCAUACUGGAAGCUGAUCGAUCACAAAUACCUAUUCCAUCCUUAGUUGAUUCUACGAUCCCAUGGGAAUCCUAUAAAAGAAUCACUUAUCCCAUCCCAGCGAAUGAUCCUAUACAGUUCGUAUAUCUAUUUCAUCAUUCGAUCAUGAAAAUAGUGAUUCUUGAACAGGAUGCGAUUAGUAGAGAAGCGCAAUCUCUCAGAGUCACUUUGAGUACGGGGAAGUCCGCAGGAGGGAUGAGAUCCGCCUGCUACUCCACCUCUUCUUCUUCCCCAAUAGACGAAGAAGAAAAUAGGGCCAAGGCGCUAUUGGAGAUGCGCAAAAAAUAUCCAUCGGGAGAUGGCGCUGACGCUGACGCUAACGCUCGCAAGGCGGUUUUGCAGGCAAUUUCACAAAAUAGUUUUUUUUUUCGUUGAGGUCAUAACCCGGUUUGGGCCGAUUGACUCUGAGAGCGAUCGAGGGGUCGCGGGCUCACACCUUGCUUUUGCGCAUAGGAUUGAAGAGAUCCUAGAAUUUCAUGGAAAGAGCAGCGGCUCUCUGAAAGACCUCAUUGAUCUGAAAUUGGAUUUGGAAGACGCCUCUAAAAGAGAGGAGAUUCUACUUCCAUAUUUUUCCUCCAAAAAAGAGGCAAAGUCCUAGCGUGAUACAAAAAGAAAUAAUGGGCAAGGGCGGGGAAUGAUAGGUUCAUAGAUGUGGAGUAAUCAGUUCUUCAUUUGAAGAGUUAGUUGGCUGGCCUACCGGCCCGCAGAUGUAGAGAGGUUGCCCCCACCAUCCUCUUGAACUGCGAAAUCAAAGCGAUUCCUGUUGAUGGAAGAAAGGCUAAUUUUGUUUGAUCCGAUCCGCCUAUGCCAGUUCGAGUCUGGCGAGUCGCUAUCAUCUGUUGCCCUAACUUUUUCUAUUAGCUCAUCUUGUCCGUAGUGAUAUUUUGGAGAAGGAGCAAUUACCGGAGUGAGAAAGGUAGAAAGAAGCAAUCACGAAAGCUAGUGCUAGUUGUGGCUUUUUGUACUAAUCUUGUUUGUUCGGUAGCUCGCAUCAGCAGCUUUAAAAGGAAUAGAAAACGAGGCUUUUUCCACCACACUAGGGGCGGGCAUUACGCUCAAGCAGGGGAAGUCAAUUUGACUGCUGCUCGAGAACCUGUUUGAACAAGAAGAAGUAGCAUGGCUCCAGCGGGGCAGAGCCAAUUGGCUACGACAUGGUGACCGAAAUACAAAUUUUUUCCACCACUUUGCAAUUGCAAGAAAAAAGAGGAAUUUGAUCAAGUACUUGAUGAGCGAUACUGGAGAUCGAAUAGAAGGUAAUGACUUACUCGAUGCACAUAUUUAGGGCUAUUUCUCUCAUCUGUUUAAUACGCAAUUCUCUUCGCUAAGAAGGGUUCUCUUGUGUUCCAGGGUUGAUUAAGCGUCUGGUGGAACAGGGAUACAUUGUGUGAGGCCAAAUUGCCUGACGAAUUGAUGAAUAUGGCUCAAUAUAGACUGGUCCAGGUAUACCGGUCAGUCUUGAGCCACCAGGAUAGCCUUCCACAUAUCCUGUUCCUCCCUUAAGUGGUAACUCUUUUCUAACCUUAGAAUCCUGAACCAAUUUGCUCCAAAGACUCUGUCAUUGAAAGGAGUCCAUAGGUUGAUAAAAUAGGUUUUCAUGAAAACCACACGUAGAUAGAAAAGGUAAGAGUUACACGUGCCAGAAGCGAGGAAUACCGCUCGGAAGCCUGAUUGAACAUGUCCUCAUUCACUGCUAUCUCCAUAUAUUGGAUGCCAAGCUUGAAAGGGUAAUGGUCUGAGAGGAUGGGGCCGUAGUCUUCUAUUACGCACGCUACGUAGACGAUAUGGUCUUCGGCUUACCGAGAGGGGAUAAGUCCACGCGAGUCACCCAGGGUCUCAAAAAGGUCUUAGCUAGAGUCCUUAGGGAGCUCCUACAGGGCUUCACUUCUACUGAAAUUUCUAGAAAACAACCAGGGAGGCUACAAAUUAUCGGCUUGCCCCUGUCUCUGAAAAGUGAAGGUCAGCUCCACGUGGGUAUUCCAUCCAAACGAUGGGAGAAGAGGAUGACACUUGUUCGUAUUGAAAACCGGAGACGAAGGGAAAGAGGUUUGAUUGGAACAUGUUCUACAAGAACUCCUGUGUAGAACACGCCCGUAUCUAUUCUAUGGGCUGGCUUCAGGCCAACCCUACUGCUGAAGUAGAAAGCAUCAUAUUCCGGUUUUUCCAACACUUGAUCAGGAACCGGGCGCAGAAAUUCCUUGAAGAGAAGGGGAUGCCUACAACCAAUGCCUAAAUAAAGGCAUAUGUUGAAAAGUGCAACUACUAAUAGAUUCAGUAAAGGAAGGCCCGGAACGGGCUGAGCUACUGCCCGAAAUAGAAGAGGACGACUAGAGUAGAGGAGCCUAAUUCCAAUCCAAACAAUUGACGAGGGAGUCUAAUUAUUUUUCCGUUCUUGAUUGUUUCAAUUGCACUUUCUUCAUUGGAGGGUUGCUUGGAAAGUGCGAUAGUUACGGCGCUUGGAGUAUACGGAUUGAAUUCUUCCUUCUUCUAUAGGUCUUUCUGGGCGGCGAGGCGGAAAAAAGGUGUAGAGAGGGAGAAGGUACAUAAAAAAACGAUUUCUAAGGUAGAAAAGAGGCAUCCACCAGUCAUUGAGAACAGCUAAUCCCGGAAUUAGCAGGCCGGUAUGCGAAGAGAAUUCGGUAUUGAAUCCGCGAGGCCAGGUGAAGAAAAGUCCAAUAUGGGUGGAUUACCUUUUUCUGAAGGAUAAGUCUCUGGGACUGACUGAACUGAAUGUAUAGCGUCAAGAUAAGAAGCACGGUAGUCGAAGAUGUACCUUGUGGGGUGGGGUACGAGUAGACCAGACCAAUGAUGAAAAGCAUAGAUACGAGCAUGGCCUCCCUGUCUCAAAAGCAGGCCGCCAAGGGUGCUCGCAUGAAGCAUUUAUCACUCAUAAAUAAGUAGUUAUCACAAAUUUAGAAACAUGCUCUGAUUUCUCUUAUCGAAUUUCAUUCAUAUUUUCCAGUAUUCGGAGUUGCUUGGGAAAAAACACCCUAAUUAAGACUUUUGUAUAGUUUGUGUCAACCUGAGUUUGGUUAAGUGCCCGCCCGCCUAGAUAGAUACAUAAGUGUCAGUUUGAAUCAAGUCAAGUGUAAGCCGUGUCAACAACGAGAAAUUGAAGUGUAAAUCUGGAUGGUUUGAAGUGGAAACCUUAACAUACAAAAGUGUCUACCUCAUUAGAAAAGCAAGUAUCUACCGGCGAUAUAUUCAUUCGAGUAUCAACUGGCGUCAACCAGUUGUCAAACUCCAAAUAUUUCGUUCGUAGGGGCAUGAAGAAGUUGCUAAACCGGUUGUAAAGUGGCUCUGAUAAAAACCAUCAUUGCUUUAUUUUUUACUUUUCAUCUAGUAACGUGCAUGAAUGGAUAUGGUGGGUAAGAUUUGAAAACGUUUGACAUCAACCGGGCUCUACUUUGCUUUUACUUUACUUCACUUGCCAGGUCAUUGUUGUCGAUAUUGAGGUGAGGACUCUCUCUUUAUUCUCGUUUUAUUUAUCACUAAAUGAUCUAACAAACGCAUGAUUUGAUUACUAAAUAUUGAGUCAUUGAACGAAUAUUCGAGUAAAUUCACCUUUUUCUAUGAAAGCAAGGAUUGGGCUGGGUUGCUUAUUCGUCAUCACGGAGCAACCCGGUACCUUUUCUUAGGCGAGCGACUGAGACGAGAGCUUUCAAUUAUGCCGUUUUGGUCAAAUCCCAGGGCUCUUUCUGAUUUGAUUAAAUACUUCUAUGUUGUAUGAUAAUAGAAAGUCAAGAUCUCACUCGCUUUUUCUGCUUUUCUCGGUUGUUGCCUUUUUCCACAUCGAUUGCUAUAGGAGUUCCAUCCUCAACCUAUGUAUGCUCAAAGAACUGGAUCACGGAACUCUCAGCCCUUUGCCCCAAGGCUACGAAAAUGUUUCUACUCCCUUUCCCUUCCCAACGUCAUAUCUUUCUUCGACAAGAAGGAAAGAUCACUCUCUAUCUAAAUGAUAGAACCACUGGCACGGUACCUUUCACAUUGGUAAGUCAAAUCCUGGUGAAGACAUCACGAGCAAUGACACGACGACAUCAUCUCCACUUCGUAGCCCAUCGGUCUUCAUUCAUUGAAGCCAGGGCAUUGACUGACUUUCAGCGAUCGCUAUAAGAAAGACAUAAAAAAAGUUCUCCUAAACCUGUUCCUUUCCGUUACUACUACUUGGAAUUGGAAGUCUAGGAGCAGGACUAACCUUUUUCUUUCGUUUAAAUAAAGUCGAGAUGUAGCUUUCUCUAUCUCAAUAAAUUAUUCCACCUCCAUUCAUUGGAGAACAAAGCGUUAUCUGAUUAGAUCCUUGCUUCAAACUCAACCGAAUCAAGUUUCAAAAAUAGAUGUGGAAGAGGCAAAGGGAAGAGCGGGGUUGCCGAAUUGUUUCUCAGAGCCGGACGAAACAUCUAUCUCUAUUUACAAUACCCCCAAGAAAACUUUGUCGAAAAAGGUUGUCAUCGUAAUAGGGAUUGCACCUCAACAUGGCAGCCCUCAAUUCUGCCAAUUGUGUGUGACUUGUACUCUUCUAGGCUUCCUCUUUGCCUCAAGUGAUUAAACUCAUCAACUACACCAGCCACAUUUCUUACCUCAAACCUCUCUACAAUCUCUUGAAUUCACUCUUGCCAAGAUACUUGUCCCCUAUUCACUAAGAAACUAUUGUACCAGCUUUCAGCUCUCCCCCUAAGGUGCAUAGCCGAAAGUUCUACCUUGUACCAAUCCGUAACUUGGUACACCGAAAAGUAAUGUUCACACUUUUGUAUCCAAGACCUGGCCCCUUCAAAUAUUGGAAAAUAAACUCUAGGAGGUUGAUGUAUCUGCUGCCCAUAUUGAUAUUGAUUUUGCGGCCUUUGUUCUUGCAGGUAUUGGUACGGGUCAUGCUGUUGAGUUGGAAGCGGUUGGUUAAGGUAAGUAUAUAUUGGCACUUCAGCUUGUGAAUCUUGAAACCGCAUUUGCUUCCUAAUUAAACUGAGAAAAAAUAAGAAUAUUAAAAGAAAGACUCCACAGAACAUGAAUGAAUUCAGGUACAUCACAUCAGGCUGAUAUGUGCCGGUAUCAUACCUGUUUCAAGAUUCUGGCUAAGCCCUUCUUGUUGCCACAUAUCCAGUUUCUUCUAAGGUUUCUGGAAUUGCUCAAGUUCCUGCUCAACGCUUCUUGUCUAGCUCCAGUCUAGCACUUGUACCAGUCGCCUACCAGAUCACGGCUUUGCUCCAAUUCUACUCUCCAAUUAUGCAAUCCUCUCCAAAAUUGGGGCUUUUCUUCACUUCAGCACUUCCCCUCGCAGUGGAUUCCACUAGGUUCUUAACCUCUUCCCAAUUCUUAAACUGAAACCUGCGAUGUCUAAUCCAACUCGGCACCUAACCAGCUUGUCAGCAUCGUAAGUUUGCCUCAACAUUCCCCCUAGAAAUACAAAAAUAAUGUAAAUCUACUUUCAUUUAUUUAUUAGGGUAGGGAUGAGACUUUCUUUUUCUUUUUCUAUUUUCUAGAAUAAGUAUGCUCUGGAGUAAAAGGAUUCGAACCUUUGCAUGCCGGUACCAAAAACCGAUGCCUUACCACUUGGCUAUACUCCAAACGGGGGGAAGGCUCGAUGAAAACGAGCUGGGAUAUAGAUUUUUCAGAAGGAAGAGUUAGUUACCCUCGGUCUUCCUUCUUUCCCGGGAAUCAAGGAAGUAGUAGCGGGACAGUCCUUUAUUUCCCCCUUUAGACCAACUACAACAAGCUCGCUCCUUAGGUUAGCUCUCUGCUCUACCUAUUUGUUUGCAAUGCCUUGCUUAUCAAAAUAGGCCUUUUUGUAACCCGACCUUACGCUGAAAAACUGCACUUGUUGGCUCUGCGUCCACUGAAACUUAUGAAAAAGAAAUGUUAUUCUAUCGAUAUCUUCAAGAGUUCCCUAACCCCCUGACUGAGAGUGCUAUGAUGGGCUAUUGAAGUUCGUCCCUGCGGCACGGUGGGGCAGUGCAAAUCCUUUCAUUAAUGAAGUUCCGCCCUGACACUCCCAUUAUUGGCUUCCUUCCCUGGGGACCGCUCGGGCGAAGGCAGAGCAUGGAAUGAUCGUAGGGGCAUCCUUCCUAGGUGGAAAAGACGUGUGUGACUAAAACCAGGAGGAGAAAUCCAUUUUCAAAUGGCGACAGAAAGAAAGGAAUCACGAAAUAGAAGAAAAAGUGCACUGUGCUGGCAAAUGUGGAGAAUAGCCAUCCAUCUUUCAUCAAUGAAAUUGUUCCGUAUGGGUAGCAAAUACACAUAUCAGAAGAGCCAACCCGAAAGCACUUGCUUAAAAGAAGCAGCAGUUACCAAGAAAUUCCUGUUUCAAGUCAGUAUAUCUCGAUAGAACCAAUUCCAAUCCAGGUAGUGUGAACAGAGGAUGUGGAAGUUCUGUUUCCUUGCCUUGUCAAGCAUUUCAUCUGACACUCUAUCUAUACUAUAGCUAGAUCAAUUCCUAUUCUUUCUUCCAGGCGACUUUACUCCAAAGAAUUUUGCCUUCUUAUCUUGACUCGAUCUCACGAAAUUGGAUUGAUUGGCACACCGCGCAUCUGGCAUUCGCUUCUCCUAUCUAUCUCUUCCAACUAAGCUGAUCACUGGAAAAUAUGAAAUCAUGCAAGCAAUCAUUCCAGAGCCAACUACGAAGAUACCUGGUCUUCCACUCUAUUCACUGGAGGAAACACAAGAAAGUAAACAAUUCUUCAAAGGAAUUGGCUCUACCGGAACAGAGGAAUUGGCUCGCUCCUUCGCUCGCUGGGUAAGCAUAGAAUGCACACCAGUCUGGUAUCAAAGCGUAUCUACUUGAAAAGGAGACUACUUGAACAGAUGAAAUGGAAGGAAGAAAUGAAAGUUCGAUCUACCAACGUAGAGUCCGCCCCUCCCAGGAAGAAGAAAUUUGCUACUUUGGCUCAUCAGUUGGUAAGUCUGUCUAUGAAGUUCAGUGCUCAGAAAAGAGAAAAAAAGACCAAAACAAGCUUUUUCAAGCUCUACAAGUCCUAUAUAUAUAGUGUUCCACUAGAUAGCCGUGUUAAACUAGUCCAGUCUUGCCGAGUGGCCUUAUCUUCUGGUUACCUGGUCCGGUACUUCUACUUCGAGAGUGAGUUAGUAAACAGGAUCAACUUUAUGAUCCAUUUUGAGAAAUUGCAAUCACAGAAUCAGAACGAGUGGGUCUAGAGUCCAUCCUCACACAGUUGAAAUGCUGCUUCUCCCUUCUCCUUUCCAAAAGAAAGUGGAUCUCAUAGCCUCUGACAAUUCGAAAAGUAGGUCUCAGUCUCAUUUUCAGAUGCCAUUUUCCACCGGAAAGAGAAUCCCAUAUUCUUUAAGCCAAGCCGCCAAUCCUAGGGUCAAUGCGGAACAGGAAACCAUUGCUAUUUGAGCAGUUAGAGAAUCGAAAUUCCACUCAUUUAGAAAUCGAUCAGCGAAUGCCAGAGGAAGGAUAAGGGGAGCCUACACCAACGUAGUCUUAGCCCUAGAACACAUGGAGCUUGGAGCACUGAUAAUAAGUCUGUCUGAUUUUCAAGGAGUUUAUGAACAAUCACCACAUCCAUAUUGAGGAGAAAGCUCACUCAGGCUACUGAACUUGUAAAUACAGUUGCGCUCAUGAUAGGGAUUCCGUUUAUGGCGUGAGGUGAAGUUAGAAGCAUACCUGGAUAUAUACUCAUAGUGGCUUCCAUACCUAUCUCCGGUAGAACUAACAAAAUAGAAACCUAUGACUAGUAGACUCAUACGAAAACUUGAAAGAUCUAUUUCAUUAGAAGAGAAAUUUCACUAAUCUAUGGCCUAGAAAGCCAAAAGAAAUGAUCAGUCCAAUGACAGAAGGACAGAAGCGCGUUCCCUUCGUCCUCAAUGUGCGUCCACAGCUUACUCGAGUGCUUGAGAUAUUCAUUUGGUUUAAGGCACCUUCAUUGUAGGAAGGAAAAAACCCGGAUCCCCGGGCGGAUCAUUCCCUCUAACAAGCUAAACAAGAGUCCAGGAGCAAGAGAGGAAAAUCCAAAGUGCAAAUAACAUAAUAUGAAAAAAGAAAAAAGUUUUAUUGAGUUGUUGAAAAAAAAGGCACUUUAGAAGCGAAAGUAGGCUAUUCUCGUAAAGGAAUAUCGUAACGGGCGACUAGGUAAAAUAUAGAAGGCCGACCCACCCGAAUCUCUUGGUGGCCUUUCCCUCGGCUUCCAUCACAGAAGAUGUCAGCAAUAGCAAUCCUUCAGUCAAUAGAAUCAGUAACUAUACUACUUAAAUAGUGAAAUACCAACCAACACAUAAAGCAAUAACCAGAUAGAUAGAAUGAUAACAGGUAAUACGAAGAUAUCAACACAGCCGGAGUCACGAGGCUCGAUAAUGACCAAUGGGUUAGGAUCUGAGGAAGCUUAGUUUGGAUGAUGGAAUAUUCGCUGUUCUGAUUGUUGAGAUACUGCAAAUCCACUUAUCCAACAAUUUCAGUCCAUUUUCCUACUUUUUCUGCAAGGGGGGAAAGCAUUAUUAUAUCCUUAAUAUGACUCUCUGUCACACGGAUGCUGCUAGGCUGCUACAAAACCCCUAUAGUCGAAAAAAAGAUCGAAACAGGGAUAAAACGUAGGAUAACCCAGAUCACUCGGACUAGCUGAACUCUCCAGAACAAACACAACCUAGGUGGUUUGACUAACGUUUUGGCACAUUAGACUAACCUAAGACAACUCCUGGCUACAUGCAGUCCUAUCGAGAUACAAGCUGUUACCAACCUGAUACAACGCAAGUCACAAGCUUGACACAGCGAGAAUGGCUGCAACUGACAACUCCUGCAUCUGAGAUUGACAACUCUAGUAACAGAGAAUGACAACUCCUGCAACAGAUAUUGACAGAGCAUGACACUCUCAACUGAGCUCAAUCCAGCUGUGAACAAUAAACAACACUGAAAGUAAACAACACGCUUAUCACAAAACUUGGAUUCCGAAUUACAACACUAUAGGCAAUGAACCACCACUAACGGCCCAUAACGUUAGCUGAUAGCCGCUGACCGUGGAGUACUUGUCGAUCCAUCAGCGAGGACUGUAUCAUUUAGCGAGCUAAAAACUUAAGGAACAUGUAUGUGAGAGUUCCACUUUAGCUCCCUCAACACCAGGCGGGACGAGCAGCCCUAUACCACGUGUAGCCACACUCUAGUGUCCUUUUCUACUUAGUUGGACAGAUCACUUCAGAAAAUCGUAUAAAAAUCAAGCAAGAAAACGGAUGCGCUAACGCGCAACGGCUUUCGCGCUAGUUGCUCAAAAAAUCAUAUAAAAAUCAAGCAAUAAAACGGAUGCGCUAACGCGCAACGGCUUUCGCGCUAGUUGCUCAAUCCGUUGCUUGCUUCUCUUCUGUCUUGGAAAAGUGAGGAUUUCCUAUCUGAUCCAAGGGAAGGAAGAGAGGUGGAAAGUGUUGCUGUGUCAAAUCGAGAUUGUGUGGGUGUCCGCUCAUGUUCGACGCUAUCGAAAAUCAUGCAUUGGAUGGAUGCCCGCGCAUUGAGAAGGAAGGACGCUUUCAGAGGCGAAAGGCCAUGGGGAGAGAUUUUUCUGUGAUCCAUGGAUCUCCGAUCGGGAAACCGUAUCCAAGCUCCGUGGCUAGUCUGCGCUCUUUGGACUUUUCAAACUUAGCGAACUGAAACGUCUGAGUAGCUAAAGGAAGGAAAAUCAACCGAGACCCCGUUAGUAGCGGCGAGCGAGAGCGGAACAAGGGUUUUCAUCAAAAGAAAUCCGAAGCGGUUUCAUUCGAUUUGUUGUGGAUUGGAUGAUGGAAAAACCAGCAAGCACCAAGCGUAGUUAGAAAAGUUGUCGUAGCGCGCCCUUCGGAGUUGUACAAAGUCAGCAACCGUUUUGGGGCGCAAGCAUAGGCAACACAGGACUGAUGACGGGGUGGGAUUUGGAAUUGGAAUUGGAAGGUUUGACAGCCAAGGAGCGGCAAAUAAGUCACGCUUCGACAUAGCUGAAGCUCUAGGUGAAUAAUCUCUUUCUUAAAAAUCAAAACGAAAAUCAAAAUGACAAAUCUGGUUCGAUGGCUCUUCGGUGGGAACCUACUAACUGGGUUUUUUGGGGGGUUAUUCUAAUAGUUCUAGUAGCAACCGCUUUAGUAUUUUUGGUUUCCGUUUCUUUCUCUUGCUCUUGGAUAGCACCAGAACAACUUUUCGAAUGGGUUCUCUCGCUUUCACAGUAUGUUUAUCACAUUCUUAGGGCCAUUUUGGAAGAAACCUGGAAUGGACGUGACCGCUGUGCGACCAUGGGAGUGACGGAACUGGAAAGUCCUGCCCGUUCAGGGGAUAAAACGUACAAAGCCCCACACGUGAAUCUAAUGCUAUCAUCAUCUAGUGAUAGCGUUAACCAAGGGGGUGGGAGCAAUGAAACUCCUUUAACUAUUGACUUGAACCGACCGGCUCAGGAUCAGGAAGAUAUUCGGCAAUAUGCCGAAUCAAUCAAGGACUUUAGAAUUGACGAGCAAUUUGAGAGUUUCAAAAACAAUCAACUCACUAAACCGCUCUAUGAUAAAUUAUGUGCCUACGUGGGAGAUGCGGAGGCUGUAAAAAACACAUGCAUACGAGAAAUCUCGGAGAACUUUCAUUCAACAGACGCUGGGUUAAUUGAUUUCGUCAAGCAGACGGAUGACAGUGAAGGGCAAAGAAGAGUGAUAUUUGAUCUUAUCAACCUUCAUUUUAAGGAUGAGCUAGAGAAACUCCCACCCGAACUCCAACAAAAUGAAAAUCAAGAGGACGACGGGGAGGGAUAAUGAAACAAACUACUAGCAACCCGCAGAAAUAACGCUCAUAUCUACUUCUAGUUAGAUGGUCAUUUUACACAAUGAAUUUACAAGCUAAUGAAAAUGGGAAUCGAAAUUAUGAUUCUAGGAGGACUAUAAUGAGGAGGACGACAGAUCACGAUCUACUAAAAGGAGACAUUGUUGGUGGUUCGAAUCCACCUCGUGAGAAAGACUGAGCUGAGCUAUUUCUUACUUUUCUAGCUUGAAUGAGACAAAGCCGAGGGUUCGGUCAUACAAAGGAGCAAUUCUCUUGUGCAAAGGCUAGUUUCGAGUGAAUUAACGCACCCCCAUUUAAUAAGUGCUUUGCAAGCGAUAUGAAGUAAGAUUCCUCUUCCCCCUACGCACGAGUGAAAAGCUAGGCUAGUUUUGAAAGAAAUGAAACAGAGAAAUGUUGGGCGCCAAAGCCCACAGCAAAUAGGAAUGCAGAUGGAAAUAAAGUAUCUUUGGGAAAACGGGAUCCACAUUCUAGGAACGGUCAUGCAAAUGAGAAAAAGGCAUAGGUUUCUUACUCCACUGAGCACACUACAUUAGGGAAAAGCAGUUUAGCAUCAAUAAAUAAUUAGGAUAGGAUGGACCUUUUCACAAAGAAAUUAGAAGCAAAAACAGUAUCAAUUUCUACUCCGCAUUCGCAUGAACCUUUGGUGGUAUCCUUCAAAUCUUCUUCCUAGCUCUGACCGGGUUGCGUAAAGACCCCUAGAGACACCUCCUCAUGCAGGCAGCUAGUGUUUCUUCUUCUUUUUAAACAAUAGAGAUUAUCACGCACAAGCCAUAAAAAAUAGAGAGUUGAAAUGCCAGUUUUGAAAGAAUUGGCACUAAGUAAGAGGUGAUCUGCUUUUGGCCUUGUAUCGGGCAGCGGGACGUUAUGAAGGGCAGCUAAAACAUGACUCUUGUGAUGCUGAAUCAUCGAUUGAUAGAGGUGCUGAGAGGGUUGUGACUGCAGUAGCCUCACUUCACUUUUUUCCACCAUCACUAGUACGUGGGGUCCCGAAAACCAAACAAAGAAUAAAAUGCACGCACGAGUUGGUGGAUUGUGUUAAGCAUCUAACUAACUAGAUUCCUUACUCCCAGCGAUGACCUAUAAUAGAAUAUGAAAAGUAAUGUUUCCCUUAAUCUCCUCCCAUCUGGAUAGAUAAAUCAAGGUCAUGCGUAGCUCGUAUAAAAAACUAGAAAUGAAUUAUUGCCCUCUGGCGAAAGGAAAAGAUUGUUGGUACGAAAGCCGCUAUUACACCACUUGAGGGCUGAACCAACCUCAUGCUCCAUCAGAUACAAGAAACAGCCCAACUCUGAGCUUAUCGAUCUGAAAUGCACUUUUCAACCAAUGCCUUAGCGAGAGAAUGGAGGAGUAGACGCCUCUUCUUAUAGAUGGACUAUGUUUUCUCUUUUUAUAUGAUUAUUCGAGUUAGGUGGUUGAGAUGCUUCUACGGGGUGGUUCUUGAUAGGGCAGCUUCUAAUACAAUCAGUUAAAGACGUAGUGUAUCUACUUUAAAUCGAAUGAAAAGGAAUGCACUCCCUUUCUUUGGUCGGGGUUCGCCAUUCGAUGCCUCAACCAAAGGGAUUAUUGGAGGUGGUAGUAUGAGCCAAGAUAGCCGUGAGAUACGUUAAGCUGCUAAUAUGUCCAUCUUUGUAUCCAUACGGAGGGAGAAGGGAAGGCCCAUUGAUCCUCUUAUGAGUCGCUUAACUAAAGCUCGAACGAUGUCCCUUCUGGUUCGCCCGAGAUUCCUGUAAUAAUGCUUGAUCCAUAGUAACGUAAGUAGAAAUGGGAGGUCGAAGCUGCUCCAUUAGACCCGAAGCUUUCUUCUUAUCCCUUUUGUCUUCUUACGUAGGAUGAUUUCAUCCGAGUGUGUGUAAGGCGGGUGGCAUUCUUUGCCAUAAGCUCUAAGCAACCACCUACUUGUAAUAUGGUAUCCUUUCUCUCUUCCUGGGACUUGAGGGGAGGUUAGUACCGCGAAUAAAGUAGUACUCGCUACCCAGCCAGUCAUCUACUUGACAAGUUUGGAAAGAAUCUCUCGGAAAAGAGAGCGCAAUCUCUCUUUGCUUGUGCCACCCGGGCGGAAGAUAUAUCUGAGUCGAGCUCGUCGAAGAAGAAACUGCUACUGACAUCCAGGGAUGAGGGCUCAGAUCAGAGUGAACAAACAGUGCGAAAGAGACUGAGAAGGGCAAGCAUGCGCCUGAAAGGGGGGCCAUUGCUCCAUGUAUAAUAUAACUCGGGAUGUUUCACUAUAUUAUAUCCCCAUUGCUAAACGCAAUAGGAAGGGAAAGAAACGUUUCUCCUUCUACACAUUUAUGAAAAUAAAUGGCUUCCCGUCGCUCACAGCAGCUUCUCUAGUUUAAUUAUCGCCAAAAACAAAGGAAAUCGACUUAGUCGCUCGCUUGUACCUCCAUUUCCAAUGGCUAAUUUACGCAUGUUGUACUUCUCCAUAGUUUGCUCGAAUCGAACUUGUCCGUACCGACAUAAUCAGUAUCUCCCGGACUACCAAGGCAAAAAAAACCAGUAAACUAGUGACUUGAAUCAUACUUCCUUCCUCUUUGAUUGAGGAAACCUAACUACAGGAACUGCUUAAGUCAAGAACAAACAGAUGGAGUAUUUCUUCCUUUCGAACUAUAAAAAGUUAGGCUACAGCAAGCGCAAGUCAUCCCCUUGCGAAGUGCAAAACAAGGGAAAUCUGACUUCAUAAAAACAAGUUGAGCUAUCGUUCCCUUCAUUGACCUACUAACUCGUGAUACAGCGCGUGUUUCUUCCUCAGAAUCUCAUUUCAAAAGGCAUGAACCAUCCCCUAACUUGGAAGGGGACAGGAACAGAAGACAAGUGUUAAGCAAGCCUUGUUUCCUACUUGCUGACCCUAGAACAACAAGAGGCAACAGGCUUGCUUAACACUCGAACAAGAGGAAAUCGCUUCGUCUUUUUGCCCUUGGCGCGCCUUCUACUUCUGUCGGCACAACUACGUAUUUAUUAGAAUAGUGCUUUGCUUGGUCCUGCUUUGGACCUAUGAUCCACGGGUGAUUAAUCAGCAUCUACAGCUUUCGCUUUGGGUCGGGAAUUUGGAGAGAUUGGCUCUAUAGAAAGGGAAGCGAGUCUUUGAACUAUGUUAGCGCCGAGGGUUCACUAAACCUACUGUCCUUCUGACUUUCGUGUUUCGUAACUCAUUAGAUUCCUAGCUUUUUAGCGGGGGCUUUGUAAGAGAAAUAGCUAGAUCUGUAACAAUCAAAAUAAGUCGGGGUUCAGUUCAUUAGAGCAAGGAGAAAGUUCACUAGAUAGACAGGUUGGACAAUGAGGGCUUUUAUUCUCCCUAUCUCGAGUAGGAUCAUUGAAAAGAAAGAAAAGGAAUGGUUUCUUCAACUGGCUUGUGCCACAGCUCAUAGCUCGAAUCGGGAUUGGAAAAACGGAAGGAAAGUAAGGCGCUAGAGCCUCUGAUGAGGAAGACCUCGGAUCUUUCAGAAGGAAUAGGCCUCCCUGCUUUAGCUUUUAUGGUUCACCGCGGUCUUCUUCUUCCUAGCCCAAGGCGGUUUCUCUCUCAAACUGAGUCAAAUCCGUAAAAUUGUAAUGAAGAGGAAAGCAGCGGCUUUGACUCUCUCACCUAACAGGUCGGUAUUCAUGUCCACCAGAAUUAUCUACUGAUUGGCUGUAGUUUACUUCCCGAUCAGAAGGAUCCGAAUCCUGUUUAAUAAAGACCCAUUGCCACCUAGGUAUCCUUUAUCUUCUCUCGUUCCUCUUUGGACAAAGGUUUCAAACCACCAACUCUUUAGAAAUCUCUGAGGAGUAUGCAUCUGGGUAAAGCAAUGAAUAGGAUGUAGAUGAAGCCCGGUAUGACUCGAUGUUUUCACUUUUUGCAAGGUCUGAUGAUCAACGAGCUAAAAAAAAGGGGGGUAUGCGCGCGGGUACCGGUGCAGUUAGUAAUUGAGGUCAGUCGACCAGGAUCUUAUGACUCUUGUCCCCUUCAAACUUAAUAGAUUAGAGGAUUCUAGCGAUCCAGGCGAGUAAAAUGAAGCAGACGUGGCAGCCGCAGGCAAUGAUCCAAUACCUUUCGUUCUCUUUAGCACUCAUUUCUAAUUCCUUUAGCUUGGAUCUUUUGAAUCUGGAUAGUUAUGAGUACAAAACUCAAUAAUCUUUCCUAGGAUCCCGUGAGGAAGAAGCAAAAGCAGCUGUGGACGAUGCUGGAGGCAAGCCUGCAAUGUGGGAUUAUGAAGCCUAGUUAGUUCAGAACUUUUGUGAUGAUGAGCAAUCACAUGCAUACGCAGAACCUAAAAUCUUAGGUGGUGUGACCAGAUCAAAUAAGUUUUGCUGCUUAAUGCUCAUUUUAUUUUGUUUUGGCAAAAGAAAGACAUGCUGAUGCAAAUGAUCGAGCGAAGUAUUACGUACAAAGAUUUCUCCUUGCUUUUCGGUGGUUGCUGAAUCCUACUGGGUAGGGUAGACCAAGAUGUUUGACUCGAGGACUCUUCCUACUAUUCCAGAUUCCAUUUCAAUGGUAGCUUCUUGGUAGACUUACUUUCUAUGGUACACAAUCCAGUCAAUAAACCUGGCUCAUAGGACUUUACAAGUGAUCGUGCAUCUGCCACUCCUAUGCCUUCUUUUCCUCGUCCCGAUUUGAACUAUGUUAAUAAUUUUGCUAGAUCGGACCAUAAAAUGGAAUUGAGCAGGCAUCCCUUGGUCCAAUAGAUAUUUCCUUAUGUAUGAUAGAACUUAGGUGCACCCCAACUUGGGGCUAGCGAGCAUGUCUCUCAUCUUCCUAGUAAGCACGUCCUAGGUGCAUUAACGGCUGAACAGUCUCACUAUUCGAUGAACUAGGGUGGGCCAGGGAACUCGUAGCUUAUGCACGCGCACGAGGCAUGAAAAAGGAGGAAAGUCAUUACAUAGGAAAGGAGCACACGCCAUAGAGGAAUUAUCAUGUUAUGCCUGGUAAAGAAGCACACUGACUUCAGAAGAAAGAAAAGAAGUCAUCCCAGUCAUCUACUAUUUUCUGCCACUCAAAUCCUGAUGGAUUGAAGAGGAAUGGAGCGAAUAGCCAAGUGAUAACCAAGAACCCUGAAAGGGCGCGGGAAGAGCCCAAGGUUAUCCCAAUUCCUAUGAUCCUCGUAAAAAGAGAGGAUGGAUUGAGAUACCCCUUUGCUAACUCCAUAGUUAGGACAGGUGCGUCUGCGGUGAGCAUAAGAAGAUUGCCCUGAUAAUGGAAUUCCGGAUCCGCCGGGGUGAGUGAUUUUCUUAGGACUGUCAAAAGAGCUCAAGUUUGGCUGAUAGCGAACUCCACCAAACGUGAUACCCUCCCCAAUUGGGGAUUGACCCGAGUAUUUAGUCAUAUUCUUCUUAGGAGGCUCCCUUCAGCUUGUGAAUCUAUUCUAGGAUCAAUGCAUAUACUUAGAUAGGUUCGAUCUGGCUUAAGCUUCAAUCCGUCUAAAUAGUGUAGCGAGGGACUGGAUAGAAUAAAAACCGUUUUUAUCUGGGAAGAGCGCCUUUGGAAAACCAAGAAGCAGAAUGCAGUGUCUGCUAUGAUUGCCCCAGAUGUAAGUUGGCCUCCCCUAGCCACAGCUAUUUUAGCCGAUUUUUUCUUUUGGAUAUGGCAAGUGGUUGUAACUGCUAAAUACAAAUCAAUGAAUGUACUUGAACUGCCGGUAUCAAUAAGGGCAAUGCCUGUUUCUCCACCAACAGUGACCUUGACUGAAAAUGUGCCAGCAGUGACUUGCCCUGAAACUGCAUGAGCCGAAAUAUGCAUGAGAUACUCAUUUGGAGGGGAGUCCUGAUCCUGUGGGAUUUCUUCUUCUUCUUGUACUGCAAUCUCUUCUGUGGCAUCAUUUGGUGUGUAAGUUUCCUGCAUGACAUUGAUAGUAGGGAUUAACUUGCAGAAGUUUUUGAUUGGUCUUUUUCAUGUCAUGGGAUAACCCCCCCGAAAGAAGAGUGCAAAGACCAAGUUCCCAUUUCCUCCGUUCAUCCACGAGAAUCGAUAUUCGUUCUUUCCACUUUGAAUACGUCAAUUCUCAUCCGUUACUUGAGAUUCGAUACGUAAGAUACGUCAUUUCUCAUCCGUAACUUCCAUCCGAUAAGGGCAAUAAAGCCAAGGCAAGCUCAUAUUUGCGUAUCUAAAGGCUUGGUGUGGAGUUUUGGGGAGAGGGCCUGGGUUUCAGGAGAUGAAAAAAGCCUACUUUUACAGCUAAGUGAUUAGGACUUGAUCGAAAAAUAUUGCUCUCAAAACAUGCAUUUUUGAGGUAAACUAGAAAAACACUACUUUUGACCCAUAGUGAUCCGCACUUUUUUCAUUGGAAAUGGAGUUUCCUUAGGGAAAAAGGACUUGCUAACUUUUGCAGCUAUAUGAAACGGACUUGCCUACGGCACUUUUGCACCGAAGAAACUAAAAAAUAGUCUUUCUCCGCCUAAAAGCAAGGUAGGAUUUCUACGAAACAAGUCCGGAUAGGUAACUAGGCGGAUAGGAAGGAUUUCUACGAGCUUCAGUUCAUGAAUUGAAAUAUGCAUGCAGCCCAUUCAUAAGGAGUAGCUGGCUAUCCGUGUGCAACACUCAUUUCUUUCUAGGAAGAUAAGAUCCCGCUCUAAGGCAUUGGAGCUGCUGGAAUAUGAUACGAAAAUACAGAUUGAUGUUUCUGCUUCUCCUCUCUCGGGAAUAGUUUACCGACCGGGCCACCUGUAAAUUCUUUAGUUAAAACAGGCCUCGGGAGUAGUCAUCCUAGUAUCGAAAAUCAUCUAUUUUGCUUUCCGAAGGUAGACAGCAGCGUUGAUUCUCCGAUUAUACGAUAGCAACAUGUGCGAAGUCUAGUACCAGAUCAUAUCGGGGAUACCUAGCUCAUCAGCAGUUCAUUUCUAUGUAUGGCGAGAAGUCCAACUGUCAAGCAUGGCACGAUUCCAGAAUCAUCGCUUGGCUGCUGCUUAGAUGAGAUGAAACCUGAGCUGACUUCUCUGUUUUAGUACCGGCCAGGCCUGCUUCUUAAGUGAACUCAUCCAUUCCCUUGUUAGUACAGAAGGAGGCGAUAUCGUGUCAAUUCCCUAAAAACCAUCUUUUCCAAUGAUUUAGGGCCCAUACCCCAAAAAUGAUGACGAAGAGGUCUUCCUGCUUCAAAAACAGGGCUUCCUGACCCGAGAAAAGAGUGCACAUGGAAGUAGUUCCGCUCAAUUCUCCAAUACGACUUCGGUUGUGACCCCAACCCCACCAAAUGGUGAUCCUCGAGACCAAAGGGCAUUGAACGAGAGAGAAGGAAAUCAUCCACAGAGAAUCGGAGUAUCCGACCUAGUGAUAGUUAGAAAGAGUUGGCCAAUACAGAAUCUCAUGCGCCUCUCAUUGAUGAACCCCUUUUUCCUUUAUCCUCUACUGGUGGCUGACUGAUUGAGCGCCGGUCUCAUUCAUUCUUUAUGAGCGGAAGCCAUGCACCUAUCACCUAUAACCGGAGAAGUACUAUACGGCACGGCACCUUCGGCGAGGACUCAACUCAACAGAGAAUGAUUUGACAAACGUUGAUCCAUGCUUGGCCUUAGCCUGAGCUCAACUCUGAAAAAGAAAAGAGGAGAAUCUCUCUAGCUUGUGGAAUCACUUCCCUGGAUGCUUAGAUAGCUCGAGAAAGUGCGCCACUUCUCCCUUAGAGCCCAUCUAUCUAAACGGGUAUAAAAACAGAGAAAUAGGCUCAUUAAGUGAAGUGAGAACAGAACUCGAUCUUUGCUAGGCGUGAGAAGAAGAUAUCGGUCCUUUGGCCAUCGGGUAAAGAAAUCCUUUGAAUGGAUCAGUGAGUUCCGGCACGAUUGCUGGAACGAACGGAAUCUACGGGAACGAGAUCUUUCUGUUGGCACGAUAUCUUUCAGGAACUGCGGUAAUCCAAUCCUUGAGCUAAGGACGAAUGCUUGAUUUGCAAUCUUUCAAGACGAUUUUCUUGUAGCAGAUGUGGAAUCCAGAUUGGCAUAACGGGUUCUACGUGAAGUCAGCCGUUCGUCAUCAUUUGAGGGUUCGGGUCGGGAUCAUGGCCAUAAAUCGCUACUUUUUCCACUAGAGCGAAUAGCAUUCUUCAAAACAGGCACAGGACACUAGAGCGAAUAGCAUUCUUCGAAACAGGCACGCACAGGACUUGAAGCAGAAUCAGAGAGUGAUCCCUUUCCAACAGACUGAUCGAAUUCCAGUGAUACACUACGCCUGGCACUAUUCGUCACAUUAGUAGUUAAGUUACUCAUUUGUUACGAACAAAGAGACGCUAGAGAUUCUAUGAACUUCAGAUCGAUGCCAUUCACUAAUCUCAAUCGUCUUUCUAUGGAUUUCUGGGCCGAUGGGCGAUAAACCUUAAAAGUAGCUGCUACGGGCUCUGUGGUGCGUCUCAGAGCCCUUCCCCAUGGGGGGUUCCCGUUCUGCUAAUCUUGCUAUCUUCCCCAGGUUUGCUCGUUUCGAUUGGAACUAGAAGUCCGUAUUGGUAUUUCUUGGUAUUGGUAGCAGAUGUUCAGCAGUAACAAACAGUAGCUGCAAGUAGAUCAUCUCUCUUUCUUUCGUACAAGUAGAUCGUUGGGAUGAGAUCUGUAGUCUAAGAAUCGGUUCAUAGGAAAGCACGCCUUGCAGUUGGCAUCGGUAGAAGAUUUCCGUCUUGUCCCUCGGAGUGGAGCUAGACUCACUUCCUUUGUUCUAGACAUUAUAUGUUACUCACUGAGGAAGAAGGGAGUAAAGUAUCUACACUCGUAUCGGAUCUGGAGAUCUGCCCCGGGAUGGAAAGGUAUCGAUCGACCAAGAAAUUGUCGAAUUUCUUUGACCUCAGAGCCCGUACAAGCUCUUCUUCCACAACCAUAUGUGACCUCCCCGAGUUUCGAACCCCUCGCCCUCUAAAUGUGGAUCUCCUCCUCCUCGUUGUUGCCGUGGAGAGACCUCACGUCUAGUUGAAAUAGAUGCAAGUAAAACUUUCUGACAGCUAUGUGAGCACGGAUCUUUCCAUCAUAAGAAUAGGGCUCUGGCAAUAGAUCAAAAUCACUAGUCCAUUCUGAUUCGGAAGAUAGGGCUGGGCUGGCAGGUUCUAGUUUGUUCGCACAAGAAAGAGAAAGAAGUGCAUGAGGCAGCACUGGACCAAGUAAAGGUGUCGGAUACGUCUCAGCUCAGCUUGAAAGGGAAUGUGUUUCUGGGGAAUCGUACUUUUGAUUCUCAGCUAAAGCCCACCCUUGCCCCCGGAAAGGUUCUCAUUCCUCACUGGAGAACACGGCUCCACAACGUAUUUGGUAGCGGAUCCACUUUUCCUUAUCUGUUAACGUAUACCUUUCCUCUGCCUAUGAGCUAGCUAAAGAUCCAUCGUUAUCCUUUCCGGCAAUGGAGGCGGAAUCAAUGGUCAUGUCAGGUUUCGGAUUCAAAGAGAGAUGUCAAGCAAGCGCCGAAAAUGAGUACUCAACUUGCCCGACCCGCUUCUUCCACUAGACCUCGUCUUUCAAAGAGCAUCAGCCCUGCAAGCCUAAUAGAACCUUGUUUCCCUAUUACUUACUUUUGCUUUGAGCGUCGCACUCCAGUGGCUUUCUUUCCUAUGGCUUGGAUGGGGGUCCUCAACAAGAUCUAUAUCGGUGUCAUUAUUUACUUAUUUAGACGAUAGAUGAUGAUAGAGAGCAGACUGGCUCUAAGGAAGAAUAUCUUAAGUAGUUGAAUCCGCUCCGCUAGGUUAAAUUGUAUGAUCUGAAUGUAGGAGGACUGCUGCUGGUGACACAAUUUCUUUUGGGUCUGAAGAAUGAACUCGGAGUUGCAGUGGAAGUGCAGGUGCCUAACUCAAUUAGUGAAGCUGCAUCUUUUGCUCAAUCAAGUGCGGGAAGGAGUUUUGGAGAGAGGCAGGCACUACAUGGACAAGAAGGACAGAUAAAAACAGUUUUUUCGUACCUUGAUUGGACCCACCCAAAAGCAACAGGAAUCCCUUUCUCCUCCUAUAAGGAAAUCUCGUCGUUUCACUCUUCUUCAAGUACCAUCGGAUUAGUCAACUCAAACGCUGAGAGAUUGAGUGGCUAUGUGGGGAUUAGUCAACUCAAUCAAACGGGUUGAUUCUUUUGCUCAAUCCGUCUAAAUAGUGUAGCGAGGGACUGGAUAGAAUAAAAACCGUUUUUAUCUGGGAAGAGCGCCUUUGGAAAACCAAGAAGCAGAAUGCAGUGUCUGCUAUGAUUGCCCCAGAUGUAACUUGGCCUCCCCCAGCCACAGCUAUUUUAGCCGAUUUUUUCUUUUGGAUAUGGCAAGUGGUUGUAACUGCUAAAUAAAAAUCAAUGAAUAUACUUGAACUGCCGGUAUCAAUAAGGGCAAUGCCUGUUUGUCCACCAACGGUGACCUUGACUGAAAAUGUGCCAGCAGUGACCUGCCCUGAAACUGCAUGAGCCGAAAUAUGCAUGAGAUACUCAUUUGGAGGGGAGUCCUGAUCCUGUGGGAUUUCUUCUUCUUCUUGUACUGCAAUCUCUUCUGUGGCAUCAUUUGGUGUGUAAGUUUCCUGCAUGACAUUGAUAGUAGGGAUUAACUUGCAGAAGUUUUUGAUUGGUCUUUUUCGUGUCAUGGGAUAACCCCCCCGAAAGAAGAGUGCAAAUACCAAGUUCCCAUUUCCUCCGUUCAUCCACGAGAAUCGAUAUUCGUUCUUUCCACUUUGAAUACGUCAAUUCUCAUCCGUUACUUGAGAUUCGAUACGUAAGAUACGUCAUUUCUCAUCCGUAACUUCCAUCAGAUAAGGGCAAUAAAGCCAAGGCAAGCUCAUAUUUGCGUAUCUAAAGGCUUGGUGUGGAGUUUUGGGGAGAGGGCCUGGGUUUCGGGAGAUGAAAAAAGCCUACUUUUACAGCUAAGUGAUUAGGACUUGAUCGAAAAAUAUUGCUCUCAAAACAUGCAUUUUUGAGGUAAACUAGAAAAACACUACUUUUGACCCAUAGUGAUCCGCACUUUUUUCAUUGGAAAUCGAGUUUCCUUAGGGAAAAAGGACUUGCUAACUUUUGCAGCUAUAUGAAACGGACUUGCCUACGGCACUUUUGCAUCGAAGAAACUAAAAAAUAGUCUUUCUCCGCCUAAAAGCAAGGUAGGAUUUCUAUGAAACAAGUCCGGAUAGGUAACUAGGCGGAUAGGAAGGAUUUCUACGAGCUUCAGUUCAUGAAUUGAAAUAUGCAUGCAUCCCAUUCAUAAGGAGUAGCUGGCUAUCCGUGUGCAACACUCAUUUCUUUCAAGGAAGAUAAGAUCCUGCUCUAAGGCAUUGGAGCUGCUGGAAUAUGAUACGAAAAUACAGAUUGAUGUUUCUGCUUCUCCUCUCUCGGGAAUAGUUUACCGACCGGGACACCUGUAAAUUCUUUAGUUAAAACAGGCCUCGGGAGUAGUCAUCCUAGUAUCGAAAAUCAUCUAUUUUGCUUUCCGAAGGUAGACAGCAGCGUUGAUUCUCCGAUUAUACGAUGGCAACAUGUGUGAAGUCUAGUACCAGAUCAUAUCGGGGAUAGCUAGCUCAUCAGCAGUUCAUUUCUAUGUAUGGCGAGAAGUCCAACUGUCAAGCAUGGCACGAUUCUAGAAUCAUCGCUUGGCUGCUGCUUAGAUGAGAUGAAACCUGAGCUGACUUCUCUGUUUUAGUACCGGCCAGGCCUGCUUCUUAAGUGAACUCAUCCAUUCCCUUGUUAGUACAGAAGGAGACGAUAUCGUGUCAAUUCCCUAAAAAACCGUCUUUUCCAAUGAUUUAGGGCCCAUACCCCAAUAAUGAUGACGAAGAGGUCUUCCUGCUUCAAAAACAGGGCUUCCUGACCCGAGAAAAGAGUGCACAUGGAAGUAGUUCCGCUCAAUUCUCCAAUACGACUUCGGGUGUGACCCCAACCCCACCAAAUGGUGAUCCUCGAGACCAAAGGGCAUUGAACGAGAGAGAAGGAAAUCGUCCUCAGAGAAUCGGAGUAUCCGGCCUAGUGAUAGUUAGAAAGAGUUGGCCAAUACAGAAUCUCAUGCGCCUCUCAUUGAUGAACCCCUUUUUCCUUUAUCCUCUACUGGUGGCUGAUUGAUUGAGCGCCGGUCUCACUCAUUCUUUAUUUGCGGAAGCCAUGCACCUAUCACCUAUAACCGGAGAAGUACUAUACGGCAUGGCACCUUCGGCGAGGACUCAACUCAACAGAGAAUGAUUUGACAAAGGUUGAUCCAUGCUUGGCCUUAGCCUGAGCUCAACUCUGAAAAAGAAAAGAGGAGAAUCUCUCUAGCUUGUGGAAUCACUUCCCUGGAUGCUUAGAUAGCUCGAGAAAGUGCGCCACUUCUCCCUUAGAGCCCAUCUAUCUAAACGGGUAUAAAAACAGAGAAAUAGGCUCAUUAAGUGAGUGAGAACAGAACUCCAUCUUUGCUAGGCGUGAGAAGAAGAUAUCGGUCCUUUGGCCAUCGGGUAAAGAAAUCCUUUGAAUGGAUCAGUGAGUUCCGGCACGAUUGCUGGAACGAACGGAAUCUACGAGAACGAGAUCUUUCUGUUGGCACGAUAUCUUUCAGGAACUGCGGUAAUCCAAUCCUUGAGCUAAGGACGAAUGCUUGAUUUGCAAUCUUUCAAGACGAUUUUCUUGUAGCAGAUGUGGAAUCCAGAUUGGCAUAACGGGUUCUACGUGAAGUCAGUCGUUCGUCAUCAUUUGAGGGUUCGGGUCGGGAUCAUGGCCAUAAAUCGCUACUUUUUCCACUAGAGCGAAUAGCAUUCUUCGAAACAGGCACAGGACACUAGAGCGAAUAGCAUUCUUCGAAACAGGCACGCACACGACUUGAAGCAGAAUCAGAGAGUGAUCUCUUUCCAACAGACUGAUCGAAUUCCAGUGAUACACUACGCCUGGCACUAUUCGUCACAUUAGUAGUUAAGUUACUCAUUUGUUACGAACAAAGAGACGCUAGAGAUUCUAUGAACUUCAGAUCGAUGCCAUUCACUAAUCUCAAUCGUCUUUCUAUGGAUUUCUGGGCCGAUGGGCGAUAAACCUUAAAAGUAGCUGCUGCGGGCUCUGUGGUGCAUCUCAGAGCCCUUCCCCAUGGGGGGUUCCCGUUCUACUAAUCUUGCUAUCUUCCCCAGGUUUGCUCGUUUCGAUUGGAACAAGAAGUUCGUAUUGGUAUUUCUUGGUAUUGGUAGCAGAUGUUCAGCGGUAACAAACAGUAGCUGCAAGUAGAUCAUCUCUCUUUCUUUCGUACAAGUAGAUCGUUGGGAUGAGAUCUAUAGUCUAGGAAUCGGUUCAUAGGAAAGCACGCCUUGCAGUUGGCAUCGGUAUAAGAUUUCCGUCUUGUCCCUCGGAGUGGAGCUAGACUCACUUCCUUUGUUCUAGACAUUAUACGUUACUCAGUGAGGAAGAAGGGAGUAAAGUAUCUACACUCGUAUCGGAUCUGGAGAUCUGACCCGGGAUGGAAAGGUAUCGAUCGACCAAGAACUUGUCGAAUUUCUUUGACCUCGGAUCCCGUACAAGCUCUUCUUCCACAACCAUAUGUGACCUCCCCGAGUUUCGAACCCCUCUCCCUCUAAAUGUGGAUCUCCUCCUCCUCGUUGUUGCCGUGGAGAGACCUCACGUCUAGUUGAAAUAGAUGCAAGUAAAACUUUCUGACAGCUAUGUGAGCACGGAUCUUUCCAUCAUAAGAAUAGGGCUCUGCCAAUAGAUCAAAAUCACUAGUCCAUUCUGAUUCGGAAGAUAGGGCUGGGCUGGCAGGUUCUAGUUUGUUCGCACAAGAAAGAGAAAGAAGUGCCGGAGGCAGCACUGGACCAAGUAAAGGUGCCGGAUAUGUCUCAGCUCAGCUUGAAAGGGAAUGUAUUUCUGGGGAAUCGUACUUUUGAUUCUCAGCUAAAGCCCACCCUUGCCCCCGGAAAGGUUCUCAUUCCUCACUGGAGAACACGGCUCCACAACGUAUUUGGUAGCGGAUCCACUUUUCCUUAUCUGUUAACGUAUACCUUUCCUCUGCCUAUGAGCUAGCUAAAGAUCCAUCGUUAUCCUUUCCGGCAAUGGAGGCGGAAUCAAUGGUCAUGUCAGGUUUCAGAUUCAAAGAGAGAUGUCAAGCAAGCGCCAAAUCUGAGUACUCGACUUGCCCGACCCGCCUCUUCCACUAGACCUCGUCUUUCAAAGAGCAGCAGCCCUGCAAGCCUAAUAGAACCUUGUUUCCCUAUUACUUACUUUUGCUUUGAGCGUCGCACUCCAGUGGCUUUCUUUCCUAUGGCUUGGAUGGGGGUCCUCAACAAGAUCUAUAUCGGUGUCAUUAUUUACUUAUUUAGACGAUAGAUGAUGAUAGAGAGCAGACUGGCUCUGAGGAAGAAUAUCUUAAGUAGUUGAAUCCGCUCCGCUAGGUUAAAUUGUAUGAUCUGAAUGUAGGAGGACUGCUGUUGGUGACACAAUUUCUUUUGGGUCUGAAGAAUGAACUCAGAGCUGCAGUGGAAGUGCAGGUGCCUAACUCAAUUAGUGAAGCUGCAUCUUUUGCUCAAUCAAGUGCGGGAAGGAAUUUUGGAGAGAGGCAGGCACUACAUGAACAAGAAGGACAGUAACUAGAAUUAGAAGUCGGCUGCCCCUCAGCAGCAAGGCUAUGUCUCAGUCAAAGUUCGACAGGGGGCAAAACAGUUGCUGUCCUAAUAGAAGUUCAUGUCGAUCCAGCCAAGCCAGUGCCAUCAUUAGAAAGUCCGGCCAUUUUAGUUUCAGCCAGUUCAAGUUAGGGCAAGGAGGAAAGGAAGAGAGUAAUGCAAGGAUGUAAAGAAUGAGGCGCUAGAAUAGACUGGCCCGCAGGCUUCCAACCUGACACCGCUUUGCUACUUUUCGAAAGAGGAAGAGAAGUUGCUUGUACGAGACUGCGCCUCCCGGCUGGAAACUCCAAUGGCAUUUUCGGUAAAUGAAAGCAAAGCAAAGCUUUACGACCAAGGAGAGAUAAGCAUAUUUUAUGAAUGAUAGAAGGAGUGCUCCCCGAGCACAAGCUCGCUUGGAAGGAUAGAGCGCCGCAAGACAAGAUGGCAUAUUGAAGGGAAGGCUAUGAAAAGAAUUCUGGUCUCUCGAACGCCUGGCAUACUAAUACGAGCCGCAUACUUCAAUACUAGUGACAUAUUGGAGGAAAGGAGAUUAUUGGAAUACUAGAGGGAGUUACGCCCAUAAGAACUGCUGGCUGUAAACGCGACUUGCUCUGCUCCUCCUAAAACCCUUUUCGAUAGUAAGAUAGAUAUAGAUCUAAAGGGCCUAGAAGGGCAAGCAUGGACCGAAUAAUACACAUACUCUGUCUAGAUAGACGAUUUCUUCUUUCAUUUCCACUCAAAUAAAAGCACUUUCUUUCAAGCUUAUUUGCUUGAAAAAGAGCAAAGCAAUUCCAACAUAAACUGACACUUUAGGAUCCUCUAAGCCUUUCUAUAGACCCGUAAGGUACUAAAAACGAAAAACUAGCACUACUAACACAGGCUGAAGAGGAUGACCUCGAAAAAGAAUACAAUUAAAGAUGUGGCCUUCCCUCCAAGCACAUAUAUGGAUAUGGAGCACUCUUUUCCACCCUAAAAAAGAAUAGCCAGAGAUGGCUUUCUUUCCGUAUCAAUAGGUAGCCUUCCUUGCCUAUGGCUACUUUCAAAUGAAAAGGUCAAAAAGAACUUGAUGUAAUAGGCUCACUUCAUUAAUGCUUUCAAACUCGAUUGUAAACUAUUCCCACCUAAAAGAUAAGCUUACUACUUCAAAUAGGUAGAUGGAAAGAAAGCCAUAUUUUCCAUCUUAUUUAUAUAUUCCAUUCCAGCCAUUGACAGCAACUCACUCUUUUCGAACUGCACUUUGAAAGCCAAACCCAAGAAAGACCAUAUCAACUACUCUCCAAAUAGCAGGAUAAAUCACGGAAUUCAAAUGGAAGACAGAAAGAGAAGGCAAUUCAAAUCUAAUGGCCAAACGAAUCCAAGACAGAAAUACUUAUAGCCAGAAAAGAAUAACAAGAGAACGAAAACAACUCCAUAUUCUACUGGCAUGCCUCUCUGAUCUACUAUCCAACUGCCAUGGAAGCACCACUGUUCACCCUAGGCUCACAUUCUGGCACUUCGUUCGCUGUGUACUCAAAGGACUUGCUUGUCUUUUGACUCGGGCAAAAACCGCAGGAGUGAAUUGACUCGUAAUUAUACAAACAAAUGACCCAGCUGGCCUUCUCCUAUCCGGGGAAUCAUCGGGACAUGCUUCACUUAAAGUGAUUAUACCACAUAGUUUAGGGAAGCGAAACCAUAGUUUGGGUUAGUUCACGCUAGAUUAUCGAAGCUUGUAACACCUGUUAGAACACAUUAGGAAAGCGCAAAAGAUUUCUAUUUGGAGUUCGCUCGUUUAGUUGCUCGAUCGCUGCCAUCCGCAUUGGGCUAAUUCAAAUCCUAUGCUCCAUGCUCUUGCGGGUUUGCUCCAUUUGAACUUGUCCACACUGGCAUAACCAGUAUCUCCCCGGAACUAAGAGGCAUGGAUACCCAUCUUUAUCGAUUCAAAGAAAUGAAUAAGUAUCAGCGAGGCGGGGAAUACGGGCCCGGUAGAGAUAGGGAUGAUCGGCAAGCGCUAUGAGCGGGGCCGAUGUUUCGUGUUGUGGGUGGCCAUCGGAUUGUUCAGCGUGCCCAUGCGGAUCCCUACCAAUGUCCUAGACUACAAGUUCGACAAACUUCCGGCUUGGGUCAGGAUACAAAGUUACCCGGGAUGGGCUUGCCCUCUGGAUCACGCUGGGUCCUUGGUUGUUCCAACGUCAUGCUAGGAAUGUAUCACGUGCCCAUGCAAACCAAAGUAAAGCAGAUACAACUAUUACAGAUCCUAGUCCUAUUUCCCAUCAGAACAUAAGGGAGUGGGCUUCCUUUGUAACAGCUCUGUUCUGGUCGUGGCUCACCUCACUGGACCAAUGCUUCUGGUCGGAAGCUGGUCGAUCGCCUGGUCGGCAACCGGCACAACACCUUUGCCAGUGGGAUUUCUGUUGGUUUUCGUACUAUGCGCAAUGAAAGUUUCCAAAAAAUGAGAGCUCUAAAAACAGCGUUCUACAGGGAGAAUGUGAUUUUUGUAUACUUUGACCCCAUACUGGCAUGAAACUGAUCGGAAAAAGGACCUCAAAAACACCCAUUUAUUAGGGGAAUGUGAAAAUUGAUGGUUUUCGCCCAUACUGGCAUGAAACUUUCUCUUUUAUUGAGCUCAAAAACAGGCAGAGGGAGAUCAGAAAAAGUGUCAAAUCCAAUAGAACAGAGAACGAUGGCCCAAACAGAAUAGCUUACUUCCUCUAUCCGAGUUGGCAAUCAAUAUCAAGAUCAGAGCGCGAGAGCAAUGAAACAACAAGUCCACCGUCCCUUCACCAGCCAAAGAAAGGAGAAGACUAAGCAGCUCAAUAGGGUCUCGAGUACGACUAUAGUACCAAAGCUUGGUGCUUCUACCAGUCAAGCAAUUACCACGGGUGGAUAUUCAAUAGAAAGCCUACUUGAGUAGGUCAAACAGCGGGGAUCUCUCAGUUCCAAUGGCUGGAUCUCAGAAUUGCGUAGAUGGGUAGAAGUAAUGGGCAAACGCACCUAAGUUAGAGAUUUCAACUACUACGGUAGUGAUGGGGUGCCUGUUUACCUAAGUAGGCCUAGUUCUUUCUAUAAUGAGCAUUCGCGUCCGGGGACUUUGAUCCAACUUCAGCCGAUGGGGAAACAGCAAGGGAUGCACCGGUAUCUGGACACGUGAUGGACCCAGUAGUAAAUAUUCCUUUGUGGAAGGCUUUGGUUAUACCUGGGUGGCAAAGCGAAGUUUCUGGUGGGUAGGUGUCUAAAACAACCCUCUGCAAGGAAGCACGCCCGUAUCAAUCCUUUAAUCGGAGACUAGACUAGCGUUAGGAAGGACAAAGGAGACAGACAGAAUUUACAUCAGAAAAAAAAGGACUUUUUGAAGUUUGAGUGAGGAUAAUUGUCUUAAAUUUCGGAGAAUCGGCUGAAAAAACGCGGAAUUGUCUUCGCCUUUGUAAGCGAAAAUGUCCAGUAAAGCCUAUCUCGCUUUUAGCCUUCAUGGUGAAUGGCCCACCCUUUCUUUGAACCUUGUCAAUGAUCGAACAAACUUACAGAUAUGAACUGAGUGCCAUUUGAUGAGUAAGAUCGAACAAGGGAGAGGGAUAUGGAAAGGAUGAAGUAAUGAAAGAGGAAGUCAUUGCUAGUAGUAACGACUUGUCACGAUCCAUUGGUUCAUAUAGAAUCCAUGUCCUAGGUCUAUCAAAAAACAUUCUUUUCGCUAAGCGUAUAUAAUAAAAUAGAGUGAAAGGGUCCACCCCGAAACCAAGGGGGUACUAACUAACAGCUGAGUCCUCUCCGAACCACAGGAGAUAGUUGCCCAUCAUACGGCUCACCAACUUCACUUGCCUCUAAGGGGGGCUCGCUCCGGGCAGGUUCGGAUCACUUACUAUACACGGCCCUACGAAGGGGUUAGGAGCGUUUUCAAGAUGAUUCUUUCUUUGUCGAGACGAAAAAGGAACCCAUCUUUUCGAUUGAAAAAUGUGAGUCUGUUUUGCCCACUUUAUCCAUCCCCCUCUAUCAAAAUGAUCAAAAAGGCAUUUCAAAUGCUUCUUAUUCCCGUGUUUGAUCUUAUCCAUCUCUGCCCCACUUCCAUGUGGGUAGAGACCCCUGUAGAGAAUGAAGAGGAGCCAAGGAUCUUACUCUCAAGAGUGCUUCGAUAGGCUCCACUCUCUCCCCUGAAUAAGUCAGGCUCCGUUAGCCUGGGCUGAGAUGGGGAUAACGAGUCGACGAUUGAAGCCCCCAACGUUGUGCCAGACACUGGACAGGGGUAAGCUCUGUAAAUGUGUAGAGCCAAGUGUGGUGUAGUAGUAGGCACUUCUAGGGCCCUUCCCGGCUACUGGAUCACUCCAGUGCUUCGGGUACUACGGACCCUCUGCCAUCCAUUGCAGCAGAGCCGUUUAAUGAGCGGGGGGGCUAAGCGCAGUUCUUUGAAUCAAAGGUUUCAUGAAAUCGAAAUCGAUUCUUUUUUAGAUAUCUGGAUAGAUGGAUGGAUCUAUCUUUCUAUUCAGAUAUCUUUUGCAAUCAGCCCCAAAUCCUUGAUUUGGCCAGGAAACAAAGCACUGCUUUGGGCCCAGGAAGCGAAGGGAAUGAGCUCGGCUGCUUCUCCCCCACACUUCUUUAUUUCUCCGUGCCCCUUCCGCAUGCGCUUCGCGCGCCAUUGGCUCUUUGCUCUCCUCUUAUUUCUUCAUUGGAGGGUUCGGAUGGACUUCGCCGUUCUUUCCCAACGAAAAUGGAAAGGGUUGUAUCACAUCGAGAUGUCGAUUCGUUUUCCGCCCCAAAUGAGAUGGGGAAUUAGUCACCUCUGUCCCUUCAUCUUUUUGAAAGGAAUCGAGGCCCGGCCCGGCUCGCGUCGUUCCAACAACCGACGGGGAGCACCUCAGUAUACGAUCGCGCGCAGUAACUGGGAGUCCUAUUACACCUAAGGCCAACUUCCAUUCACCAAACCCAGGUUCAUCUCGUGUAGUGAUUGUGGACUCGUACAAGGAUAUGGAGUCGACGGUUGAUGUAUCAGACUCGACCCUGUCUUUCGUAGCAUGCAUUCCCAUCUGUGUUGCAACUGAUUCGGUAAGCUACGUGUCCGGUGCACGGAAAACUGCCUUCGGUCUCCCAACCUUACUCAUGGCAACCUUCCGGCCGCCCAACGACCUAUAACGCUAGUCACUACUCCCACUGGGGCUAGGAAGUAAGCCCCACAACCCAAAGCGGCGAAGAACAAAUAGAAUUUGCUACAAAAGCCGGCUAACGGGGGUAUUCCUGCGUAUGAGAACAUUGUAAUGGAGAAGGUCAUAGCCGAAAUAGGAUUCGUUUUGGCUAGAGCGCCCAAAUCCGCUAUAUAUUUGACACGGGUUUGUCGUAAUGCUGGAACUAUGGCGAAUGCAUCUAUCGUCAUUGAUGCAUAAAUAAAUAUACCAAUUAGUAGUGAUUCAAUUCCUUCUAUGGUUCCACAUGAGAAACCAGUACGAAUAUAACCUACAUGUCCAAUCGAACUAUGAGCUAGAGGUCUUUUGACUUUCGUUUGGGCCAUGGCGGCCAGUGCUCCUAAGAUCAUAGAAGCAAUGCUGCAGAAAAAGAAGAUUUGUUGUAAUGUACCCCCAUAGGAAGCAACAAUAGAAACACGUGACAUAUUUGCAGAAAUAGAGAUUUUAGGCGCAAUAGAAAGGAAUGCUGUCACCGGGGUGGGUGAACCCUCAUAGAUAUCAGGUGCCCACAUAUAUAGAGUCAAAAGAGAGAUUGAGUCCGAGGGAGAGGGGGGUUUUCUUGGGGCUCGAGAGAUUGAAUAGAUAGGGCCCCACAAGUUGUUAAUUCGCCGCUGGGGAAUUCACACAAAAGGGAAGGACUUAUUCUCAACGAAAAAAGUGCUCUCUGAACCGAACGUGAAAGUUGUUUUCCAUCAGACGGCUGUUCACGUAACUCCACUCUCGGCUUGGAUUAUAUAUCCAUUUGGUCCGCUCUCGGCCAUUCCACACGCUGCCUAGCAGAGACGUGGUUAUCUGAAGUGGAUUCUCUCUUUUGUAGUAGAUGCCGAACCUGCUGCUCAGUGGGCGGGCGCAGCAGCUACAUGGACCCCUUUGUUUAUGUUGUUGCCAGCACUUUCCCGGGCCGAGCCGGAAUUCUUUAUUAGAACGUCGGCAGGCAAAGCCCGAAGGAAGGCUGCUAUCCCCUCGGCCUUCUUCCUUUUCGAUGAAAAACAAAUCGACAUCUCAAUCUCCGAAAGCGUUUUCCUUACCCAGCUAAUAUCCCCCCUUCGUCGAGCCUUUCCUUUAGUGGUAAGGGAUAUGCACCUUAUCUGAACGUCGGCAGGCAUUCCGGAAUUCUCCCUUUUUGGCCCCGGGUGAACAUAGGCUCAAACAUGAUUGGAGGGGUCCUAGCUCCGCCAUGCGUUCAAUAAAAAAAAGCAAGCCUCUGGGAAGCUGCAGGGAUUACAAAAAGAGGGUGCUUUCCUGUGUUGCACUGAAAAAAGGACAAAGGAGAAGACGCUCUUCGACUUUCUUUCUUCCUCCCGCGCCCGCCUAAGCCCGGCCCGCGUUAGAGGGGAAGAUUAGCAAAGCGGAAAAAGACAGAGGGAGGGGGAGCUGCAUCUUAUUCUCUUCGCGAGAACUUCAGGAUCGGAGAAGCAUUCGGAAGGGGCGAGGCCUUCAUUUCGUUGGCAGAAGCAGAAACGAUCCAAUCCAUUCGGGGCUUCGGGGAACCCAAAAACGAACUCUGUUUACUUUUUUCAUAGAUAGAUGAUAUAUAUAGGAAUAAUAUAUACAUCCCUUUACUUGAGAUGUCUAUGUAUCUAUUUUGGAAUCAUCUCCUGAUUCUCUUUUUUCUAAUUCGCACUGCUCUUUCUCUCUAAAUUGCAUCAAAGAAAAUAGAGAGAGAGAGAGAGCAGAUGGAUCCUAUCCCCUAUAACGAACACUCAUUCCUAUCUAUUGAUAGAAAAGAAAGAUCUUCGUCACGGACUUUUUCUUUGUUCAUUUUUUUUUAGAUUGGAGGAAUUCCUCAUAUCCAAGGCAGCUCCCCACAAACACCCCACCCAUAUGACUAUGCCCCCUUUUGAAUCGACAGUAUAGAUUGGGCUUCAUAGCUACAUUCAUUCUAAAGACGAAUAUUAGUCAAUAGGCAGGCUUCUUUCAGUAGCAAACAUAUUCAUUUUCACCGGGCUCCGCGCACCUUUGGUACUUCUGGAGGGCAAGCUGUUUUAUAGUGACUUCUUUCUUAGGGUAGGGCGACGAAUACUUCCAAUUCCGGAAAGGUCAUUGGGUCGCCUUUGGAAGCUAAAGCGAAAGUUGUAGAAAGCCGGGAGAAAAAGCGAAAGCUUGCUCGAAACGGCCUAUACCCUAACCCUCGGAAGCGAAGACGCAAAGCGUCACUUUUUUCAAAAGGAAGGAGUUUUUUCUGACUGAAUCCAUCCAUAAAGCCGCCAAGGAAACGAAGUUCAUUCCCUUUCAUCAAGUGGGUAAG
RNAcentral lists this long non-coding RNA (40712 nucleotides) under Triticum aestivum (bread wheat). Its description in RNAcentral is "long non-coding RNA (TAES_LNC017105)". The stretch from base 17617 to 17859 matches the Rfam family "Bacterial large subunit ribosomal RNA", at positions 37 to 482 of the family's 2925-position model. The record is from RNAcentral. Lineage: Eukaryota; Viridiplantae; Streptophyta; Magnoliopsida; Poales; Poaceae.